GAAACUCUAAUCUCUUACCCUUUACCCACCUUCACUUCAUCUCCGUCCAUAUCUACCGCCCACCCCACCUGCACCUCCAUCCUUGUCCUUAUCCUAUUUCACCCAUCUCUUCUUUCUUUCACCUUAAUGUGAUGUUCCUGCUUCUUUCUUCUCCUUCCUUCACCCUAAUCCAAAGACACUUGUCAGAAUUUUUAUUUGAUCCUCUCCGAUUAAGCUUAUCUGAAUAUCUCCCGCCGAUUAGAAUCUCCCCUUAGCACUUCCAUCUCCGUUCUCCCUUCAUCAAGCUCAGUAAGAGGUCAUGGAUAUUGAGGCGAGUUCGGGAACGAGCAGCUCUUCUAAUUACUAUCGACUGAUGGUUGAAUCCAGGGUAAGGAGCUCACACAAUUGUGAAGCCUCGAUUAAGGUUGCUGGUACUCGGGUGAACAAGGGUCGUCCCUUUCUUCGAUGUCCAUAUUGGUAAGAUAAGAAAGUGCACUAUUGGUUUUUCUAGUGGGUUGAUGAUAAAACCAAGGUGGACAAUGCUUCUAUUGAUGAAGAUCUGAGUAGGAAAAACGUUGAAGAACAGGCCUGCAUUUACCAGUUCCGUUGUAUUACUACCAAAUUGAAAGCUAUCCGUGUUACACUUACUUGAAUGUUAAUCUUGGGUUUUGGUGUUGUUCGGUUGAAUUUGAUAUUCCCUGCGUUCCGUCUAUUGUAAGCAUUUGGGUGAAUAAAUAGACACGAGAUUCUUACUUCAUAACUUGGAACCUAUUAAUAUCGUUCAAAGUACCUAGUACAACAUAUAUAUGGCCCCAUAUAUGGUGCCAUUACAGUAGGUAAUCAACAGAUAGAUAGUCCGCCCAAAUAGGAAUCGUUACCUAAACACAAAAUACAAAAGCUAUUUUGGAUUGUUCAUUCACCAACAUAGUGGUUAUAUAAUAUUUUUCCUAACUAAUCAACACCAUUACUUAUGACGAUGGUAGUUGAUCCAAAAUGGGUCUUCCUUCCUUCAUUCGUUAAACGCUUUUCACUGAGUACCAGGGGGUGGUGGUUGGGUUCCAAAUUCAUUAGGUGCCAUUACUAUAGGGUUGGUAGGUUCCCCUCCUCCGCAUAAUGUACCAUGUCAAUACAUCAUUGUACAUUUAGUUCAACGACCUAACCAUUAAGUGGCAUAACGAGAAGUGUUCGAAAUUAAGAAUAUUACCCUAUAAUACAUAUUACAGGUGUUGGGGUUGGUGUAGCCACCUGAACCUCAGCUUGUUAUUGUUCCCUACUGGUUCCCGGAUCAACAUUGGCCUGUCCAAAAUUGGAAGCGUCUCUUUAACCACUCCGUCAUUUGAAUCCCAAGUUGGCAUUAGUAAUUGAUGCUUUGUUUGUACAAUAAUCAUUUAAUAAUUAGUAUUUCUACAACCAAGUGAGAUUUCAGAUCUCGUUUGAAAAAGGCCAAAACACUACUAAUCUAAUGGAUGAAAAGAAGAAUCCCACAAAAAUUAGGGUUUUCAAAAAAAGCUUCCCUACUAAUCUAAUAGACGAAAAGGAGAUUCAGACAAAAAUUAGGGUUUUCAAAAAAACUUCGAAUACACCAGAAAACUUAAUUUACUAGUAUCCUUUAAGUCGAAAAGGGGGUUGUUGUAUCUGGAGCCGGACUACAAAGCUUUAUUAGGAAAGUUAGAUGAUUCCCUACUUUAUCUGUUGCUGACAUUCACAUGUGUUAUUGCCUUUUGUUGCAGUCAAACCUUAUCUCUUUAAGCCUUUAAGAAGCUCAACCAUUAGACCCAGAUCAAUGCAUCCACCGCCAGAUGCAGGGGACCCACUUACGGAGCCAACCUCCGCUCUAAAGGAAAC
RNAcentral lists this long non-coding RNA (1824 nucleotides) under Linum usitatissimum (flax). Its description in RNAcentral is "long non-coding RNA (LUSI_LNC003448)". Lineage: Eukaryota; Viridiplantae; Streptophyta; Magnoliopsida; Malpighiales; Linaceae. The record is from RNAcentral.